CCUACGGGUGGCAGCAGUGGGGAAUUUUCCGCAAUGGGCGAAAGCCUGACGGAGCAACGCCGCGUGAGGGAUGAAGGCCUCUGGGCUGUAAACCUCUUUUAUCAAGGAAGAAGAUCUGACGGUACUUGAUGAAUAAGCCACGGCUAAUUCCGUGCCAGCAGCCGCGGUAAUACGGGAGUGGCAAGCGUUAUCCGGAAUUAUUGGGCGUAAAGCGUCCGCAGGCGGUCUUGUAAGUCUGUCGUUAAAGCGUGGAGCUUAACUCCAUUUGAGCGAUGGAAACUGCAAGACUAGAGUGUGGUAGGGGCAGAGGGAAUUCCCGGUGUAGCGGUGAAAUGCGUAGAUAUCGGGAAGAACACCAGUGGCGAAGGCGCUCUGCUGGGCCAUAACUGACGCUCAUGGACGAAAGCCAGGGGAGCGAAAGGGAUUAGAUACCCCUGUAGUCCUGGCCGUAAACGAUGAACACUAGGUGUCGGGGGAAUCGACCCCCUCGGUGUCGUAGCCAACGCGUUAAGUGUUCCGCCUGGGGAGUACGCACGCAAGUGUGAAACUCAAAUGAAUUGACGG
This 564-nucleotide ribosomal RNA is filed under the name uncultured bacterium. Its description in RNAcentral is "bacterial SSU rRNA". It matches the Rfam family "Bacterial small subunit ribosomal RNA", at positions 338 to 916 of the family's 1533-position model. The record is from RNAcentral.